Molecule: ribosomal RNA, 492 nt
Filed under: uncultured bacterium
Lineage: Bacteria
Description: partial 16S ribosomal RNA
Rfam family: Bacterial small subunit ribosomal RNA
Source: RNAcentral
AGUGAACGCUGGCAGUAGGCCUAACACAUGCAAGUCGAACGGCAGCACAGUAAGAGCUUGCUCUUACGGGUGGCGAGUGGCGGACGGGUGAGGAAUACAUCGGAAUCUACUUUUUCGUGGGGGAUAACGUAGGGAAACUUACGCUAAUACCGCAUACGACCUACGGGUGAAAGCAGGGGAUCUUCGGACCUUGCGCGAUUGAAUGAGCCGAUGUCGGAUUAGCUAGUUGGCGGGGUAAAGGCCCACCAAGGCGACGAUCCGUAGCUGGUCUGAGAGGAUGGUCAGCCACACUGGAACUGAGACACGGUCCAGACUCCUACGGGAGGCAGCAGUGGGGAAUAUCGGACAAUGGGCGCAAGCCUGAUCCAGCCAUACCGCGUGGGUGAAGAAGGCCUUCGGGUUGUAAAGCCCUUUUGUUGGGAAAGAAAAGCAGCAGGUUAAUACCCCGCUGUUCUGACGGUACCCAAAGAAUAAGCACCGGCUAACUUCGUG